GAUGAACGCUGGCGGCGUGCCUAAUACAUGCAAGUCGAGCGAACAGACGAGGAGCUUGCUCCUCUGACGUUAGCGGCGGACGGGUGAGUAACACGUGGAUAACCUACCUAUAAGACUGGGAUAACUUCGGGAAACCGGAGCUAAUACCGGAUAAUAUAUUGAACCGCAUGGGUCAAUAGUGAAAGACGGUUUUGCUGUCACUUAUAGAUGGAUCCGCGCCGCAUUAGCUAGUUGGUAAGGUAACGGCUUACCAAGGCAACGAUGCGUAGCCGACCUGAGUGGGUGAUCGGCCACACUGGAGCUGGGACACGGUCCAGACUCCUACGGGAGGCAGCAGUAGGGAAUCUUCCGCAAUGGGCGAAAGCUUGACGGAGCAACGCCGCGUGAGUGAUGAAGGUCUUCGGAUCGUAAAACUCUGUUAUUAGUGAAGAACAAAUGUGUAAGUAACUAUGCACGUCUUGACGGUACCUAAUCAGAAAGCCACGGCUAACUACGUG
This 497-nucleotide ribosomal RNA is filed under the name uncultured bacterium. RNAcentral describes it as "partial 16S ribosomal RNA". It matches the Rfam family "Bacterial small subunit ribosomal RNA", at positions 28 to 507 of the family's 1533-position model. The record is from RNAcentral.